Long non-coding RNA from Otolemur garnettii (small-eared galago), 526 nucleotides. RefSeq lists it as uncharacterized. The record is from RefSeq and is a predicted model, not a curated record. The transcript has 2 exons. NCBI's taxonomy places the organism in Eukaryota, Metazoa, Chordata, Mammalia, Primates, Galagidae.
AAGAGAAUUACCUAAGCCCAGGAUUUGGAGGUUGCUGUGAGGUGUGAUGCCACAGCUCUACCAAGGGCGGUACAGUGCGACUUUGCCUCUACAAAAAAGACCUUAAUUUUUAAGCAGAGAGGUUAUGGGGGUCCCAGUAGGAGGAUGGGAAUAUGAUAGAUCAUAUUUCUUUUGUCCUAGGGGGUAACUAUGGAGAUGAUCGUCGUGGUGGCAGAGGAGGCUAUGAUCGAGGCGGCUACCGGGGCCGUGGUGGGGACCGUGGGGGCUUCCGAGGGGGCCGGGGUGGUGGGGACAGAGGCGGCUUUGGCCCUGGCAAGAUGGACUCCAGGGGUGAGCACAGACAGGAUCGUAGAGAGAGGCCAUAUUAGCCUGGCUCCUGAGAUUCUGGAACAGCUUUUCUUCCUGUACCCAGUGUUACCCUUGUUAUUUUGUAACCUUCAAUUCCUGAUCACCCAUGGGUUUUUGUGUCGGACUAUGUAAUUGUAACCAUACCUCUGGUUCCCAUUAAAAACCAUCGUUUUAGUUA